RNAcentral lists this ribosomal RNA (253 nucleotides) under uncultured bacterium. Its description in RNAcentral is "partial 16S ribosomal RNA". It matches the Rfam family "Bacterial small subunit ribosomal RNA", at positions 524 to 776 of the family's 1533-position model. The record is from RNAcentral.
UACGUAGGGUGCAAGCGUUAAUCGGAAUUACUUGGCGUAAAGCGUGCGCAGGCGGUUUUGUAAGACAGAUGUGAAAUCCCCGGGCUCAACCUGGGAACUGCAUUUGUGACUGCAAGGCUGGAGUGCGGCAGAGGGGGAUGGAAUUCCGCGUGUAGCAGUGAAAUGCGUAGAUAUGCGGAGGAACACCGAUGGCGAAGGCAGUCCCCUGGGCCUGCACUGACGCUCAUGCACGAAAGCGUGGGGAGCAAACAGG